GAUGAACGCUGGCGGCGUGCCUAAUACAUGCAAGUCGAGCGAACAGAUGAGGAGCUUGCUCCUCUGACGUUAGCGGCGGACGGGUGAGUAACACGUGGAUAACCUACCUAUAAGACUGGGAUAACUUUGGGAAACCGGAGCUAAUUACGGAUAAUAUAUUGAACCGCAUUGUUUAAUAGUGAAAGACGGUUUUGCUGUCACUUAUAGAUUGAUCCGCGCCGCCUUAGCUAGUUCGUAAGGUAACGGCUUACCAAGGCGACGAUGCUUAGACGACCUGAGAGGGUGAUCGGCCAGCCGAGAACUAGUACUAUGUCCAUGCUCCUACGGGAGGCACUAGUAGGGAACCUUCCGCAAAAGGCGAAAGCCUGACGGAGCAACGCCGCGCGAGUGAUGAAGAACUUCGGAUCGUAAUACUCUGUUAUGAGGGAAGAACAAAUGUGUAAGUAACUCUGUUCUUCUUGACGGUACCUAAUCAGAAAGCUAAGGUUAACUUUGUG
RNAcentral lists this ribosomal RNA (497 nucleotides) under uncultured bacterium. RNAcentral's name for it is "partial 16S ribosomal RNA". It matches the Rfam family "Bacterial small subunit ribosomal RNA", at positions 28 to 507 of the family's 1533-position model. The record is from RNAcentral.